Podarcis lilfordi (Lilford's wall lizard) is the source of this 264-nucleotide non-coding RNA. Lineage: Eukaryota; Metazoa; Chordata; Lepidosauria; Squamata; Lacertidae. The record is from the annotation of a GenBank genome assembly.
GGAAAUGCCUGUGGGGGUGCGACAUCUGUCACCCCAUUGACCGCCAGGGUUGAUUCAGCUGAUCUAGCUGGCUAGGCGGAUGUCCCCUCCCUCCCACACCACUCCAUGUGCGUCCCUCCCAAAGUUGUGUGCUCGGCGGAAGAAGACAAUUGUACCAUCCCUGGGCAUGACUUCCCACCAUCUUAUUAUUUACACUCUUCUUAAAUCACUUCUUACCACUGCCUAAGUGGUAAGAAAGAAGCUAAACCCUGCCUACAGGCUUAC